GAUGAACGCUGGCGGCGCGCCUAACACAUGCAAGUCGAACGAUUAAAGCACCUUCGGGUGUGUAUAAAGUGGCGAACGGCUGAGUAACACGUGGGCAACCUGCCCCUUUCAUUGGGAUAGCCACGGGAAACCGUGGAUAAUACCGAAUACUUCGAGACUUCCGCAUGGAAGACUCGAGAAAGCUCCGGCGGAGAGGGAUGGGCCCGCGGCCUGUUAGCUUGUUGGUGGGGUAACGGCCUACCAAGGCAAUGAUGGGUAGCUGGGUUGAGAGACCGACCAGCCAGAUUGGGACUGAGACACGGCCCAGACUCCUGCGGGAGGCAGCAGUGGGGAAUCUUGCACAAUGGGCGAAAGCCUGAUGCAGCGACGCCGCGUGCGGGAUGAAGGCCUUCGGGUUGUAAACCGCUUUCAGCAGGGACGAGGCGAAAGUGACGGUACCUGCAGAAGAAGCCCCGGCUAACUACGUG
This 467-nucleotide ribosomal RNA is filed under the name uncultured bacterium. Its description in RNAcentral is "partial 16S ribosomal RNA". It matches the Rfam family "Bacterial small subunit ribosomal RNA", at positions 28 to 507 of the family's 1533-position model. The record is from RNAcentral.